Molecule: long non-coding RNA, 314 nt
Filed under: Homo sapiens (human)
Lineage: Eukaryota; Metazoa; Chordata; Mammalia; Primates; Hominidae
Description: non-protein coding lnc-FTCDNL1-1:5
Source: RNAcentral
CUGAGGAUCUGGUGCUGCAUGUUCCUGGCUGCAGCGUGUUUCUCUUUGGCGAAGCUGACCUGCCUGAGAAGCGCAGUCUUGUGCAGAGAAGGAAGCAGCUGGGCUGGUUCACGAGGAGGGAUUUCAGUGCUCUUCAGCCUGACCUGGGAGCUGCCCCUUCCCAAAGAUGUGGUUUAACAGCUUGCUUCAGGGCGUUGUGACAGUUGUGUUGGAAGAAAAUUGGAAUUUCAGCCUUGCAGUGAGGGGAUCCGUGCUGCCACCAGAGCAGCUGAGUGCCAAUCUGCGGGAGGCGGGAGUGGAGCGAAACUGCAAAC